RNAcentral lists this long non-coding RNA (224 nucleotides) under Capsicum annuum. Its description in RNAcentral is "long non-coding RNA (CANN_LNC021564)". Lineage: Eukaryota; Viridiplantae; Streptophyta; Magnoliopsida; Solanales; Solanaceae. The record is from RNAcentral.
CCGCAACUCCUAGAAAUGAGGAAAGGACCUCGCUUCACGAGCCUAUCGUGGGACCUUACUAUUUCCCACAAAAAUAGUCAUAACUUUUUGCUCGGGUAUCGGAUAAAGGCAAAAUUGGUAUCAUUGAAAAGAUAAUUCAAUUAUAUACAACUUGGUGGGUAUUGAGUUGAAAAAUUCCACCUAUAUAAAAAUUUAUGCACAUUCAAAGUAGACCCUUGUAGAAU